RNAcentral lists this ribosomal RNA (475 nucleotides) under uncultured eukaryote. RNAcentral's name for it is "bacterial SSU rRNA". It matches the Rfam family "Eukaryotic small subunit ribosomal RNA", at positions 295 to 773 of the family's 1831-position model. The record is from RNAcentral.
CCGAAUGAGUUUCUGACCUAUCAACUCGAGACGGCGGGGUAGAGGCCCGCCGCGGUAACGACGGGUAACGGGGAAUCAGGGUUCGAUUCCGGAGAGGGAGCCCGAGAAACGGCUACCACUUCCAAGGAAGGCAGCAGGCGCGCAACUUACCCUAAUCUCGAUUCGAGGAGGUAGUGACAAGAAAUACCGAUGCGGGACCCUACGGGUGCCGCGUUCGGAAUGAGUACGAUUCGAACCACCUAACGAGGAACGAUCGGAGGGCAAGUCUGGUGCCAGCAGCCGCGGUAAUUCCAGCUCCAAUAGCGUACGUUAAAGUUGCUGCAGUUAAAAAGCUCGUAGUUGAACGUUCGGGUUCCGCGGACGGGGCCGCCCCGCGAGGGACGGCGCCGCCCCGGGGCUCGUGAUAUCUCAUCUCGCCGCCCGUCGCGAGGCGGACGGAGGGAUGGAUGAGGUUACCUGGAAAAAAAUCGGGGCG